UCAAGCUACAAAGAGCUUAAGGUGAAUGCCUUGGCACUGGGAGCCGAAGAAGGACGUGGCAAGCUGCGAAAAGCUGCGGGGAGUUGCAAGCAAACAUUGAUCCGCAGAUGUCCGAAUGGAGCAAUCCACAUAGGGUAACGCCUAUGUAUCAUACAGUGAAUCCAUAGCUGUAUGAGGGGAACCGCCUGAACUGAAACAUCUAAGUAGGGCGAGGAAGAGAAAUCAACUGAGAUUCCGUAAGUAGUGGCGAGCGAACGCGGAAGAGGCCAAACCGAGAGUAGUAAUACUUUCGGGGUUCGGACAGAAUACGGUAUUGUAAAGGUUUAGUGGAAUGGAAUGGGAAGUCCAACCGAAGAAGGUGAGAGUCCUGUACACGAAAAGCCUGAACAGCCAUCUGUAUCCAGAGUACCGCCGGACACGUGAAACCCGGUGGGAAUAUGGGGGGACCAUCCUCCAAGCCUAAAUACUACUCGGUGACCGAUAGUGAAGAAGUACUGUGAAGGAAAGGUGAAAAGUACCCCUGACGGGGAGUGAAAAAGAACCUGAAACCUUGUGUUUACAAGCACCGAAAGCUCAUCAAAGAGCGAUCGGGUACCUUUUGUAGAAUGGUCCGGCGAGUGAAUGUAACCGGCGAGGUUAAGCACUUAAGGUGUGAAGCCGCAGCGAGAGCAAGUCUGAAUAGGGCGUAUGAAGUCGGUUGUAUUCGACCCGAAACCGGGUGACCUACCCAUGGUCAGGUUGAAGUAAAGGUAAAACUUUAUGGAGGACCGAACCGACUCCCGUUGAAAUGGUAGCGGAUGAACUGUGGGUAGCGGAGAAAUUCCAAUCGAACCCGGAGAUAGCUGGUUCUCUCCGAAAUAGCUUUAGGGCUAGCCUUGAAAUAGAUUACCGGAGGUAAAGCACUGAAUUGGCUAGGGGCCGAGAGGUUACUGAACCUUAUCAAACUAAGAAUGCCGGAUAAUCGUUUUUCAGGAGUCAGACAGUGGGAGAUAAGUUUCAUUGUCAAAAGGGAAACAGCCCAGACCCACAGCUAAGGUCCCCAAGUAUAGUUAAGUGGAAAAGGAUGUGGAAUUGCACAGACAACCAGGAUGUUGGCUUAGAAGCAGCCACUCAUUAAAAGAGUGCGUAAUAGCUCACUGGUCGAGUGACUCUGCGCCGAAAAUUUAACGGGGCUAAACUAUACACCGAAGCUUGGGAUACAUCUAAUGUAUGGUAGGAGAGCGUUCUGUAUGGGGAGAAGUCGUAGCGAAAGCGGCGGUGGACUAUACAGAAGUGAGAAUGCCGGAAUAAGUAGCGAGAAUUAAGUGAGAAUCUUAAUGGCCGAAAGUCUAAGGUUUUUGGAGGAAGGUUCGUCCGCUCCAAGUAAGUCGGGAGCUAAGGUCAGGCCGAAAGGCGUAGCCGAUGCACAUACGGUUGAUAUUCCGUAACCAUCUGUAAUUUAAGCAAAGGGACACUUCAAAAGGGUGUGACCCGGGCGUUGGUUGACCCGGGCGUAAGGGACCGAAAUUAGAGUAGGGAAGCACACUUGGCUGAAGGCGAGAAAAGCUUUGCGUAUAGAAACAGAUGCCCGUACCGCAAACCGACACAGGUGGACAGGAAGAGAAUUCUAAGGCCAGCGGGAGAAGGGUAGUUAAGGAACUCGGCAAAUUGACUCCGUAACUUCGGAAUAAGGAGUGCUCGAAAGAGCCGCAGAGAAUAGGCCCAGGCGACUGUUUAGCAAAAACACAGGUCUCUGCCAAAUCGAAAGAUGAAGUAUAGGGGCUGACACCUGCCCGGUGCCGGAAGGUUAAGAGGAGGAGUGAGAGCUCCGAAUUGAAGCCCCGGUAAACGGCGGCCGUAACUAUAACGGUCCUAAGGUAGCGAAAUUCCUUGUCGGGUAAGUUCCGACCUGCACGAAUGGUGUAAUGAUCUGGACGCUGUCUCAACCGUGAGCUCAGUGAAAUUGUAGUAUCGGUGAAGAUGCCGAUUACCCGCGAUGGGACGAAAAGACCCCGUGAACCUUUACUAUAGCUUAUCAUUGAAUCUGGGCACGUGAUGUGUAGGAUAGGUCGGAGGCUUUGAAGCAGGUACGCCAGUAUUUGUGGAGCCGCUGUUGAAAUACGACCCUUUAUUUGUUUGGAUUCUAACCCGUGGAACGGGGACAUUGAUUGGUGGGUAGUUUGACUGGGGUGGUCGCCUCCAAAAGCGUAACGGAGGCUUCUAAAGGUGCCCUCCGGCCGAUUGGUAACCGGCCUUAGAGUGUAAUGGCAUAAGGGCGCUUGACUGGGAGACUGACAAGUCGAUCAGGUAGGAAACUAGAGCAUAGUGAUCCGGUGUUUCCGUAUGGAAGGGACAUCGCUCAAAGGAUAAAAGGUACUCCGGGGAUAACAGGCUGAUCCCUCCCAAGAGCUCAUAUCGACGGAGUGGUUUGGCACCUCGAUGUCGGCUCGUCACAUCCUGGGGCUGGAGAAGGUCCCAAG
Molecule: ribosomal RNA, 2459 nt
Filed under: human gut metagenome
Description: bacterial LSU rRNA
Rfam family: Bacterial large subunit ribosomal RNA
Source: RNAcentral